RNAcentral lists this ribosomal RNA (373 nucleotides) under uncultured organism. RNAcentral describes it as "bacterial SSU rRNA". It matches the Rfam family "Bacterial small subunit ribosomal RNA", at positions 526 to 896 of the family's 1533-position model. The record is from RNAcentral.
CAGAGGAGCCAAGCGUUGUCCGGACUGACUGGGCGUAAAGCGCACGCAGGUGGUCGCGCAAGUGCGGUGUGAAAGCAGCUCGCUUAACGAGCUGAGGCCAUGGCAGACUGCGCGACUGGAGCCCGUGAGAGGUCCGUGGAAUUGCCGGUGUAGCGGUGAAAUGCGUAGAGAUCGGCAAGAACACCCAAGGGGAAGCCAGCGGACUGGCACGGUGCUGACACUGAGGUGCGAAAGCGUGGGGAGCGAACCGGAUUAGAUACCCGGGUAGUCCACGCCGUAAACGAUGGAUACUCGCCCUGCGGCGGUUCAAUGCCGUUGUGGGGCUCAGCCAACGCGAUAAGUAUCCCGCCUGGGAACUACGAGCGCAAGCUUA